RNAcentral lists this long non-coding RNA (1243 nucleotides) under Homo sapiens (human). RNAcentral's name for it is "HSALNT0075273". Lineage: Eukaryota; Metazoa; Chordata; Mammalia; Primates; Hominidae. The record is from RNAcentral.
AGACUUCCCCCCAAGAGAACAGGUGCCUAACAUCUUACACAACUAAGAGCAAAAGAGAGAAAAUCUCCAAGAGGAUAGGCUACAGGCCAUCAAAAAUCAGAGCAGGCCAGACGGAGAUGAGAGUUUCGAGAGAGAGAAAUGGAAAUCUGUGGAGUGGAGAUGAAGUCCCAGUAUGUUGCCUCGGCUGGUCGCAAACUCCUGAGCUCAAGUGAUCCUGCCACCUCGGCUUCUUAAAGUGCGGGUAGUACUUAAUUUGUCUAGAAAUGACAGUGUAAUGCCACUCUGGUCAAUGAGACCUAAGAGGAAGUCUACUGGAAGACAUCUGGGAAAGAUUUACCAUCCUGAAAAAAGACAUGAUCAUGACAUCUUGCAGAAAAGAGGAAGAGAGAAUUUCUAGGACAAAUGGCUUGUUUUUUACAUUAGAGAUGAACCAAAAGUUGCACACUUCACCUCUGCUCACAUCCCAUCCUUCUUAAUCAUAUAGCCACAACUUGCUUCAAGUGAGACUGAAAAUACAGUCCCUAAUGGGGGAAGAGGUGAUGACCAUGUGUACAGCCUAAGUUUUUUUUAAGAAAAAAAAAAAAAAGGGCCGGGUGUGGUAGCUCACACCUGUAAUCCCAGCACUUUGGGAGGCCGAGGCGGGCAGAUCACAAGGACAGGAGAUCGAGAUCAUCUUGGCUAACAUGGUGAAACCCUGCCUCUACUAAAAAUACACAAAAUUAGCUGGGCAUGGUGGCACGUGCCUGUAGUCCCAGCUACUCAGGAGGCUGAGGUAGGAGAAUAGCUUAAACUUGGGAGGAGGAGGUUGCAGUGAGGCAAGAUCGCACCACCGCACUCCAGCCUGGGUGACAGAAUGAGAUUCUGCCUCAAAAAAAAAAAAAGAAAAAAAUUAAAAAAGAAAAAAAGAGAAACAAAUUGGUUGGAGGCCUAUAAGUUUAUGCUACAAGGACUAAAGAUAGAACCAGAGGGAGCCUUGGACACCAUUGCAAUAACAUCCUAGUACAUGACAGUGUCUUGGACCAUAGUGGUAGGAAAGGAGAUGAGGAGAAGUGGUCAGAUUCUGGAUACAUUUUGAAGGUAUAUCCACUAGGAUUUGCUGAUAAAUUGCAUGUGAUAUAUGAAAAAUAUAGAGGAAUUAGGAACCUGUCUACUGUUUUUAGUCUGAGCAACAAAAAUAAUGGACUGGCUAAAACUGAGAUGGAGCAGAGUAUGGGUGAAGCUGGUGGCUUAAGGAGGAAAAUUA